GUUAAGCGACUAAGCGUACACGGUGGAUGCCCUGGCAGUCAGAGGCGAUGAAGGACGUGCUAAUCUGCGAUAAGCGUCGGUAAGGUGAUAUGAACCGUUAUAACCGGCGAUUUCCGAAUGGGGAAACCCAGUGUGUUUCGACACACUAUCAUUAACUGAAUCCAUAGGUUAAUGAGGCGAACCGGGGGAACUGAAACAUCUAAGUACCCCGAGGAAAAGAAAUCAACCGAGAUUCCCCCAGUAGCGGCGAGCGAACGGGGAGCAGCCCAGAGCCUGAAUCAGUGUGUGUGUUAGUGGAAGCGUCUGGAAAGGCGCGCGAUACAGGGUGACAGCCCCGUACACAAAAAUGCACAUA
RNAcentral lists this ribosomal RNA (355 nucleotides) under Escherichia coli. RNAcentral describes it as "partial 23S ribosomal RNA". It matches the Rfam family "Bacterial large subunit ribosomal RNA", at positions 1 to 393 of the family's 2925-position model. Lineage: Bacteria; Pseudomonadati; Pseudomonadota; Gammaproteobacteria; Enterobacterales; Enterobacteriaceae. The record is from RNAcentral.